CCUACGGGUGGCUGCAGUGAGGAAUAUUGGUCAAUGGGCGCGAGCCUGAACCAGCCAAGUCGCGUGAGGGAUGAAGGUUCUAUGGAUCGUAAACCUCUUUUAUAAGGGAAUAAAGUGUGGGACGUGUCCUUUUUUGUAUGUACCUUAUGAAUAAGGAUCGGCUAACUCCGUGCCAGCAGCCGCGGUAAUACGGAGGAUCCGAGCGUUAUCCGGAUUUAUUGGGUUUAAAGGGUGCGUAGGCGGCCUUUUAAGUCAGCGGUGAAAGUCUGUGGCUCAACCAUAGAAUUGCCGUUGAAACUGGGGGGCUUGAGUAUGUUUGAGGCAGGGGGAAUGCGUGGGGUAGCGGUGAAAUGCUUAGAUAUCACGCAGAACCCCGAUUGCGAAGGCAGCCUGACAAGCGAUGACUGACGCUGAUGCACGAAAGCGUGGGGAUCAAACAGGAUUAGAUACCCCUGUAGUC
Molecule: ribosomal RNA, 460 nt
Filed under: uncultured bacterium
Lineage: Bacteria
Description: partial 16S ribosomal RNA
Rfam family: Bacterial small subunit ribosomal RNA
Source: RNAcentral